UUAAAGAGUGCGUAAUAGCUCACUGAUCGAGUAAUCCUGCGCCGAAAAUGUAUGGGACUAAGUAAUUUGCCGAAGCUGUGGGAUAUAAAAAUUAAAAUUUAUAAUAUAUCGGUAGGGGAGCGUUCUGUUAUAGGUUGAAGCACUAGUGUUAACGGGUGUGGACGAGACAGAAGUGAGAAUGUUGGCUUGAGUAGCGAAAACAUCAGUGAGAAUCUGAUGCCCUGAAAACCUAAGGUUUCCUCCGGAAGGCUCGUCCGCGGAGGGUAAGUCAGGACCUAAGGCGAGGCUGAAAAGCGUAGUCGAUGGACAAUAGGUUUUAUUCCUAUACUGUUAGUUAUCGAUAACGAGGGACGAAGGUAGCUAGACUAGCCAAAUACUGGUUUAUUGGUUUAAGUGUACGAGGUUUUGAGAAGUAGAGAAAAUACUUUGAGCUGAGUCAUGAUGACGGAGUAUCUUACGAGGUACGAAAGUAGUUAAUGUUAAACUUCCAAGAAAAGCUCGAUAUUAUCUAGUUAAUAAAUACCUGUACCCUAAACCGACACAGGUAGGUAGGUAGAGUAUACCAAAGGGCGCGAGAUAACUCUCUCUAAGGAACUCGGCAAAAUAACCCCGUAACUUCGGGAGAAGGGGUACCUAAUAGGUUGCAAUAACAAGGUCCAAGCGACUGUUUACCAAAAACACAGGUCUCCGCUAAGUUGUAAAACAACGUAUGGGGGCUGACGCCUGCCCAGUGCCGGAAGGUUAAAGAAGUUGGUUAGUCUCAGACAACGCUAAUAACUGAAGCCCCGGUGAACGGCGGCCGUAACUAUAACGGUCCUAAGGUAGCGAAAUUCCUUGUCGGGUAAGUUCCGACCCGCACGAAAGGCGUAACGAUUUGGACACUGUCUCAGAGAGAGACUCGGCGAAAUAGACCUGUCUGUGAAGAUGCGGACUACCUGCACCAGGACAGAAAGACCCUAUGAAGCUUUACUGUAACUUGAAAUUGACUUUGGGUUUUAUUUGCGCAGCAUAGGUGGGAGACUAAGAUGUUUAUCUUUCGGGAUAAACUGAGUCAUCCGUGAGAUACCACUCUAGUAAAACUAAAAUUCUAACUUUGUACUGUUAGCCAGUCAGGGGACAGUUUCAGGCGGGCAGUUUGACUGGGGCGGUCGCCUCCUAAAAGGUAACGGAGGCGUACAAAGGUUUUCUCAGAUCGGUCAGAAAUCGAUCGAAGAGUGUAAAGGCAUAAGAAAGCUUGACUGUGAGACUUACAGGUCGAACAGAGACGAAAGUCGGUCUUAGUGAUCUGGCGAUAUUGAGUGGAAAAGUCGUCACUCAACGGAUAAAAGUUACUCUAGGGAUAACAGGCUGAUCUCCCCCAAGAGUUCACAUCGACGGGGAGGUUUGGCACCUCGAUGUCGGCUCAUCGCAUCCUGGGGCGGUAGUACGUCCCAAGGGUUGGGCUGUUCGCCCAUGAAAGCGGUACGUGAGCUGGGUUCAGAACGUCGUGAGACAGUUCGGUCCAUAUCCGGUGUAGGCGUUAGAGUAUUGAGAGGAUUCUUUUUUAGUACGAGAGGACCGAGAAGAACAUACCGCUGGUGUACCAGUUAUUAUUCCAAUAGUAAACGCUGGGUAGCUACGUAUGGAAAGGAUAACCGCUGAAAGCAUCUAAGUGGGAAGCCCACCUCAAGAUGAGUACUCUCAUUGUAUUAACAAGGAAGAUCACGGUAAGACGAACCGUUAUAUUACUUUUCUCUAUUGACUAAAGACUAAUAAAUAAAUUUUAGUUCUAAUAUAGAGUAAUAAGUGAGCUUAAUAAAUUAAUAUUAUUAAGAUAAAUAGGCAUUAAGUAAAAGUAUAGUAAUAUAUUCAGCUGAGAUGUACUAAUAGAUCGAGGACUUGACCUU
Molecule: ribosomal RNA, 1886 nt
Filed under: Dictyopteris undulata
Lineage: Eukaryota; Phaeophyceae; Dictyotales; Dictyotaceae
Description: bacterial LSU rRNA
Rfam family: Bacterial large subunit ribosomal RNA
Source: RNAcentral